AAAGUGCAACAGAGAGUAUGGCUUGGCUUGCUUGGAACCAGCAACCAGCAGGUGAGAAAAGAGUGCCACUACUGCACAGAUAAGGGGCAUAUGCGCUCUUUUAAAAUGGAGGCUUGUGGCCAAACCUACUUCCAGGAGCAAGAUAGGCUCAACACGUGUGUGGCCUUCCAGUCAGUUGGAUCGUCUACAUUUAUUUAUUUUAUUGAAUUUGUGGUCUCUCUCUCUCUGCUAGAGCCUAGAGGUUCUAAAUUUGGUCUAAAGCAGCAUAAAGUGGUCUAAAGUCUCAAGAUCACGCACAAAUGUUUUUUUUUGCAUUUGCUGUUGCACUAUUAUCUCAAGCAUUUUUUUUCAAUUGUUACCUUGCAAUUUACUUCCUUCUGCAGGCUCGAAUUUUGUAAAGCCACCAUGAGUGUCUUUUCCUUAAUAAACUAUAGGAUCUUGUUGCGAUUAUCUUAGUAUACACUAGUUGGAGACAUCGUUUGGAGGAUCCAUGAUUAAUUUCAAUGAGACAUGCUAGAAAAAAAGCAGAAUCUUUUAAGAAAAACAUAAAAAUAUCAUACAUUUAAUUCGGUGGACUUUGACUAUCAUUAGUAAUGAUGUCUAUUGAAUCUUUUUUACCUUCACAAAUUACUCACCAUUGUUAUCACAAGAAAAUAACAAGUCAUCCCUAAAUUCUACAUAUAAAUCAUCCACCCAUGCUAUUACUAAAAGUAACAUAUAAAGUAACUCCUGACCUUACACCUAUGUCAUCAUUAUAUAUUACUUAUGGUGUGUUUGGUUUGAGAAACGAGGUGGUACAUCAUUACUCAUUCCUGACAUUUUUUUUGUUUGGUUUGUGGAAUAGAAUAGGUUGAUCUCCCAGAAGCUAAUAAUUAUAUUAGUAUGAGGAAUGGAGUCAUCCCACUAAAUUUGAGGAAUGAACUCAGGAUUCACCACUUCAUCUGGAAUGGAGUGGCUCCUCAAACCAAACACCCUAAGGUAACACCUAAAUCUGCCUCUCUUUGACUCAUCAUUGUCAUUAUAAAAAAAAUACCCCGAAAGUGCACUAACUCAAUGUACAAAUGCACGAUGCAUGCAUUGUCAUGACCUGAUCGUGGUAUGGUCAUUUUUAUAAUCAUCGUGAGCAUCAUAUGCAUUGCAAUUUCAAUUUAGAAAAUUGCAUUUGCAUAAAACUAUACUUUCUGGGCUUUGCAGUGUUCCCUCGGACUAUCUAGUGCACACCCAGAGCGUCUAUGAGAGCAUCUACGCAGACUUAGCAAUUUUCACCAAGUUAGUGUUCCCACAGACAUCAUUUGGAGGAUCCAUGAUUAAUUUCAAUGAGACACACUAGAAAAAAAUUGUAGAAUCUUUUAAGAAAAUAUAAAAAUAUCAUACAUUUAAUUCGGUGGACUUUAACUAUCAUUGCUAAUAAUAUCUACUGAAUCUUUUUUAUCUUCACAAAUUACUCGCCUUUGUUAUCACAAGAAAAUAACAAGUAUGGCAAUAACAGUUUAGAUAACUUUUAUUAUCACUAAAAUAAAACAAUAUUUCUAAUUUACAUUUAUCUUCCCAUGCAUAUAGAAAACAUGAAUAUGUAUAUGUGCAUGAUGCAUGAUACCAUAUAGACCGCUUAUAUGGUAUUUUUACAUUCAGAAUGUCAAAGUGAAGAAAUUGCUUUUUCUGCCCAGUGCUCUGAAUGUCAAAGUGAAGAAAUUCAACCAAGCGUGGGUAAACGGCGGGAGUAACUAUGACUCUCUUAAGGUAGCCAAAUGCUUCGUCAUCUAAUUAGUGACGCGCAUGAACGGAUUAACAAGAUUCCCACUGUCCCUAUCUACUAUCCAGCGAAACCACGGCCAAGGGAACGGGCUUGAUGGAAUCAGCGGGGAAAGAAGACCCUGUUUAGCUUGACUCUAGUCCGACUUUGUGAAAUGACUUGAGAGGUGUAGGAUAAGUGGGAGCCCUCGGGUGCAAGUGAAAUACCACUACUUUUAACGUUAUUUUACUUAUUCCGUGGGUCGGAAGCGGGGCAUCACCCCUCCUUUUGGCUCUAAGGCCCGGCCUCGCCGGGCCGAUCCGGGCGGAAGACAUUGUCAGGUGGCAGUUUGGCUGGGGCGGCACAUCUGUUAAAAGAUAACUCAGGUGUCCUGAGAUGAGCUCAACGAGAACAGAAAUCUCGUGUGGAACAAAUGGGUAAAAGCUCGUUUGAUUCUGAUUUCCAGUACGAAUACGAACCGUGAAAGCGUGGCCUAUCGAUCCUUUAGACCUUCGGAGUUUGAAGCUAGAGGUGUCAGAAAAGUUACCACAGGGAUAACUGGCUUGUGGCAGCCAAGCGUUCAUAGCGACGUUGCUUUUUGAUCCUUCAAUGUCGGCUCUUCCUAUCAUUGCGAAGCAGAAUUCACCAAGUGUUGGAUUGUUCACCCACCAAUAGGGAACGUGAGCUGGGUUUAGACCAUCGUGAGACAUGUUAGUUUUACCCUACUGAUGACCGUGUCGCGAUAGUAAUUCAACCUAGUAUGAGAGGAACCGUUGAUUCACACAAUUGGUCAUCGCGUUUGGUUGAAAAGCCAGUGGCGCGAAGCUACCGUGUGUCGGAUUAUGACUGAACACCUCUAAGUCAGAAUCCAAGCUAGCAACCGGCGCAUGUGCCCGCCGCUCGCCCCGACCCACAUUAGGGCGUUCGUGCCCCAAGGGCCCGUGCCACUGGCUCAGCCUGCCCGGCCGACGCGCCGCGGCGGGCCGCCUCGAAGCUCCCUUCCCAACGGGCGGCAGGCUGAAUCCUUUGUAGACGACUUAAAACGCGACGGGGCAUUGUAAGUGGCAGAGUGGCCUUGCUGCCACGAUCCACUGAGAUCCAGCCCUACGUCGCACGGAUUCGUCCCUC
This 2860-nucleotide ribosomal RNA is filed under the name Saccharum spontaneum (wild sugarcane). RNAcentral describes it as "eukaryotic LSU rRNA". The stretch from base 1298 to 2855 matches the Rfam family "Eukaryotic large subunit ribosomal RNA". Lineage: Eukaryota; Viridiplantae; Streptophyta; Magnoliopsida; Poales; Poaceae. The record is from RNAcentral.